GGGUUGAAAGAGGAGAAAGAGGCGAGCUCACCCAGGGGUCUCUCUCGGGCCGAGAACGAGCGGAGAGAUCGGGUCGCGGGGGAGGAUUUCGGUGAGAUUCAAACGCCCGUGACUAGUGCAGCUAGGGCUUCUGGGGUGCUAAGAACAGCAAAGGAGAGUCGCGGCGGAGUCCAAGGAGCUUUAUAGGGUCUCGCGUAAGCGAAUUGGCAAGGAAAUCUCGAUUUCCCAGGAUUGGGAUAUGGCGUGGAAGGUUUCCGGCCGAGUCCUGUUCGAAGUCGACCGGAGGAAGAAGGAAAGCAGCCACAUCGCUUACGUGUGGGCCCGUGCCAUCAGCCAAACAAGCGAGAAGGGAUGGAGUGUGCGCGCGGGCCUGGCUGCUAGGCCGAGAUGGGAAACUGGGCCGCGCCCGGCCGAGAAGAGAGGGGAGAGGGAUUUGGCUGGGUUUUUUUUUCUCUUUUUUUAUUCUCUUUUAUAUUUUCUAAAGCCUUUUCCAAAAGGAGUUUUAAAUACAAUUAACUUCAGACCAAAAGCAAUCAACACAAAAUAAAGUAUGUCCAAGCAUGAAUGCACAAAAUCAUGUUACUAAGCUUAUGAUAAAUUUUAAUUUCCAUAAAAAUUAUUUAAGUGCUAAAUUUAAAUGCUCACAAAAAAUACUCAAUUAAAUCAAAUUAAUUCCUAUUAAUUGAAAUCAAAUUUUUGGGUGUUACAGUACCAAUGUCUAGCUUUUCCUGUUAAAGAGAAUGGAAAGAGCUUCCAUUUAAGGGUCUCAUCGGACAUGCCUUCUAUGCGAACGAGGUCACAGACUCGAUAAAACUCUCUUAGGUGUGUGUAUGGGUUUUCCUCACCUUCUCCUGAGAAAGGUUGUUUUUGAACAAAUUCUAUGUAUUCGGGGUCUAUCUCAAAACUAGAUGCUAUGAUAGGCUUUGAAGAUUUUGGUGGUUCGAGAUGUGUGCCCGAAGGUCUAUGAAAUUCAUAGAUAGACAUGUUUGAAUUCAUGAUAGACCAGAGAUCAAGGAUUAGAUAAGAAGAAAGAAUAGCAGAGAUGAUGCAAAGGAUAAAAGGAAAUAUAUUUUUUUAUUUUUUAGAAAAUGAUUAAGCUAGUUCGUAGUCAACUCAGCAACCGUUUCCCCGGUAAUGGUGCCAAAAAUGCUUGUUGACACUUGCUAACACCACAUCAAUACUAGGUUGUCAUCCCCAGCAUGGCACUAGAGUGUACUAUGGUAUUUAUACGCACACAGAUAAAUCCGCAAGCGCACGUAUACCAUUGUAGCUUUUACCCGGUUAAAGGUUUUAUCGUAUCCACACGGAAACGGGAGAACUGAUAUAUGCUCUAACUUAACCUAGAUAGAUAGGUAGGUGUAAAUAUGAACGAUGGUAGAAUUGAAUAAGAACAAUAUUAAAGGUAAGAUAACAAUGGGUGAUAAUAUGGGGUUAGAGAGUAGAGAAAUCUAGUAUAUGGGCGAUGGUAGGAGAAUAGAGAGGAUAACUAUCGUUUCACUACUUCAUAGGGGUAUGUCUAUGUCUGGGAUGAACCACGUGAUAAGAAUACACCACAAAGGAUGCUUAUCCAUAGGCCGAUAAACCCUAUCAGUCCUGCUAACAGGAGGUGGACUACAGGGGACCAACGUAACUGUCACCUACGCGGCCAACCACACAAUCCGGCUAGAUAGGGGAUAUCCACAAGUAAUCUAGGUCUAAGCACCACGCUUACACCUAUACCACAACUCUCACCUAUAGCGUCCUAUAGAUUAAAGUACUCAAAAGAGUUGUGAACCAGAACAUACAUGGAUAGUAAUUGCAUAACGAAAUAGAAGUAGAUUACAAGAGUCAUCCCAUGAGCAAGCUUGAUUAGAGCUUGAUCAUGGCAAAGUACAACUGGUGGAAGAACCGACAGGCCGGCCUCUCCUCCAAUCCUCCCUCGCUCUCCAUCUCGCUACUAUCUAGAUCUACUCUAGUUUAGAGAAGAGAGGAGAGCUCUCAUCUCCAAACCCUAGCUUUUGCUCUGUGUUGACACUAGCUAACACCACUUGAAUACUAGGUUGUCAUCCCUACCAUGGCACUAGAGUGUACUAUGGUAUUUAUACGCACAUAGAUAAUCCGCAAGCGCACGGAUACCGUUGAAGCUUUUACUCGGUUAAAGGUUUUAUCGUAUCCACAGGGAAACGGGAGAACUGAUCU
This 2178-nucleotide long non-coding RNA is filed under the name Sorghum bicolor (sorghum). RNAcentral's name for it is "long non-coding RNA (SBIC_LNC008889)". Lineage: Eukaryota; Viridiplantae; Streptophyta; Magnoliopsida; Poales; Poaceae. The record is from RNAcentral.